UUGCAUCUUCAGACCCAAUAGUGAAUAUGCUUAUAAUAAUCCGGCUGACACAGCAAUACGCAUAGGAUGGAUGUAUAAUGUUGGUGAAACUUUGUUACUAUUUCUUGAAAUAUGCAAACAGGAGGAAAUGAGGUUCUGUUUCUUUGAACUGACGAUGUAUCAGUCUUUACCAAUGAAAGCCAUAUACAAAGGUACCUAUUUAAACUCAAGGGCACAAGCCAAAGGGUUAGAGCAAAGGAGCUCUCGUCUUGCAGCUCUCAGCCUGGGGCAAGCAGCCUGAGGACAAGAUUAUGCUAUAAGGCAUUAGUGGAGUGUGCCAGCUAUCUGGCGGGGAAGAAAUGUAUAGUCGCUGGAUGGUUUCAACACAGUCCAUCUUCAAAUCCCCGUUCAUGGACAUACAACUUGUGCUACUGCAGAUCACUUUGUGCCUUACCCUCAGGAUGACAGUGUUACCCCCUGUUGGGUGGAGGUGGAAUGAUUGGGUGUGCUCCCUGGUGAGAGGAGGGAGCUCCAGGGAUGGGGAGUAUGUAGUGUUGCCCCACCUUUGGUGAGAGUGUACAUUUAGGUGGUAGCAGCAGAAGUGGGAGUGAUGCUGCUACCUGUACACACACACUCGUGUGUUUGGUGGGUUGGGUUACUUGUCUUCCUGGUAUAUUUGUGUUUGGAUCUGUUAGCAGUGAUUAUGAUUUAUUAUGUUAGUUAUCUUAGGUUAUAUUGAUGUUUAAGAUAUUUUUAAAAAAAUAUUUUGUGCUGUCUGAAA
Long non-coding RNA from Rhineura floridana, 760 nucleotides. RefSeq lists it as uncharacterized. The record is from RefSeq and is a predicted model, not a curated record. The transcript is spliced from 3 exons. Lineage: Eukaryota; Metazoa; Chordata; Lepidosauria; Squamata; Rhineuridae.